This 549-nucleotide ribosomal RNA is filed under the name uncultured Glomus. RNAcentral describes it as "SSU rRNA". It matches the Rfam family "Eukaryotic small subunit ribosomal RNA", at positions 548 to 1098 of the family's 1831-position model. Lineage: Eukaryota; Fungi; Glomeromycota; Glomeromycetes; Glomerales; Glomeraceae. The record is from RNAcentral.
UUGGAGGGCAAGUCUGGUGCCAGCAGCCGCGGUAAUUCCAGCUCCAAUAGCGUAUAUUAAAGUUGUUGCAGUUAAAAAGCUCGUAGUUGAAUUUCGGGGUCAGCAGGUUGGUCGUGCCAAUGGUAUGCACUGGCCUUGCUGAUUCCUCCCUCUUGAUGAGCCGUAAUGCCAUUAAUUUGGUGUUGCGGGGAAUCAGGACUGUUACUUUGAAAAAAUUAGAGUGUUUAAAGCAGGCAAGCGCUUGAAUACAUUAGCAUGGAAUAAUGAAAUAGGACGUUUAAUCCUAUUUUGUUGGUUUCUAGGAUUGACGUAAUGAUUAAUAGGGAUAGUUGGGGGCAUUAGUAUUCAAUUGUCAGAGGUGAAAUUCUUGGAUUUAUUGAAGACUAACUACUGCGAAAGCAUUUGCCAAGGAUGUUUUCAUUAAUCAAGAACGAAAGUUAGGGGAUCGAAGACGAUCAGAUACCGUCGUAGUCUUAACCAUAAACUAUGCCGACUAGGGAUCGGAUGAUGUUAAUUUUUUAAUGACUCAUUCGGCGCCUUACGGGAAAC